Molecule: ribosomal RNA, 1398 nt
Filed under: uncultured archaeon
Lineage: Archaea
Description: 16S ribosomal RNA
Rfam family: Archaeal small subunit ribosomal RNA
Source: RNAcentral
GCUGCUGCUAUUGGGAUUCGGGUUAACCAUGCAAGUUCAGGUGUCGCAAGAUACCGGCGUCAUGCUCAGUAACACGUCAUCAAUCUGCCCUAUGGUCCGGGAUAGCUUCGGGAAACUGAAGGUAAACCCGGAUAAAGGUGAUGCACUGCAAUGUGCUCUCCUUCAAAAGCAAUGCCAUAGGAUGAGAUGGCGGCCGAUUAGGCUGUUGGCGAGUGUAACGGACCACCAAACCUAUGAUCGGUAGGGGCCCUGAAAGGGGUCGCCCCGAGAAGAGAACUGAGAUACUGUCUCUAGCCCCACGGGGUGCAGCAGGUGCGAAAUCUCUACAAUGCACGCAAGUGUGAUAGGGGAAUCCCAAGUGCUUAUGCUUUGCAUAGGCUUUUGCUAAGAGUAAAUAUCUUGGCGAAUAAGUGGUGGGUAAGACGGGUGCCAGCCGCCGCGGUAACACCCGCGCCACGAGUAGGAGCCGCUAUUAUUUGGCCUAAAGCGUCCGUAGCUGGUAUAGCAAAUCCUUUGUGAAAUUGUUGCGCUUAACGUAACAACGUGCAAGGGACACUACUACACUAGGGACUGGGAAGGGUGAGAGGUAUUCCGGGGGGAGCGGUAAAAUGUUAUAAUCCUCGGAAGACCACCUGUGGCGAAGGCGUCUCACUAGAACAGACCCGACAGUCAGGGACGAAAGCUAGGGGAGCGAUCCGGAUUAGAUACCCGAGUAGUCCUAGCUGUAAACGUUGCGAGCUAGGUGUUGCGUUUUCUUUAUGAAUGCGCAGUGUCNAAGCGAAAGCGAUAAGCUCGCCGCCUGGGAAGUACGGUCGCAAAACUGAAACUUAAAGGAAUUGGCGGGGGAGCACUACAAGGGGUGCGGCGUGCGGUUUAAUCUAAUUCCACACAGAGAAUCUCACCAAGGGCGACGGCAGGAUGAAAGUCAAGCUAAAGACUUUACUUGACGAGCCGAGAGGUAGUGCAUGGCCAGCGUCAGCUCGUGCCGCAAGGUGUCCUGUUAAGUCAGGCAACGAGCGAGACCUGCAUCAAUAGUUGCUAACGAGUUCUCGCGAACGAUCGAGGUUACUAUUGAGACUGCCUGUGAAAACAGGAGGAAGGUGCAGGCUACGGUAGGUCAGUAUGCUCCGAAUCCUUUGGGCUACACGCGCGCAACAUUGGUAAGGACAAUGGGAUGCAACUCCGAAAGGAGAAGCUAAUCCUCUAAACCUUAUCUCAGUCCAGAUUGAAGAUUGUAACUCAUCUUCAUGACGUUGGAAUCCCUAGUAAUCGGACGUCAUCAGCGUCCGGUGAAUAUGUCCCUGCUCCUUGCACACACCGCCCGUCAAACCAACCGAGCAGGGUUUUGAUGAGGCCUCAUCUUUGGUGGGGUCGAAUCUAAGCUCAGUGAGGUGGGUU